This 566-nucleotide ribosomal RNA is filed under the name uncultured Methanosarcinales archaeon. RNAcentral's name for it is "bacterial SSU rRNA". It matches the Rfam family "Archaeal small subunit ribosomal RNA", at positions 356 to 923 of the family's 1478-position model. Lineage: Archaea; Methanobacteriati; Methanobacteriota; Methanomicrobia; Methanosarcinales. The record is from RNAcentral.
UGCGGGAACCGCGAUAAGGGACCCCGAGUGCCAGCAUCAAAUGUUGGCUGUCCAGAUGAUUAAAAAUCAUUUGUUAGCAAGGGCCGGGCAAGACCGGUGCCAGCCGCCGCGGUAACACCGGCGGCCCGAGUGGUAGCCGUUUUUAUUGGGUCUAAAGGGUCCGUAGCCGGCUUGAUAAGUCCUUUGGGAAAUCUGGCAGCUUAACUGUCAGGCUUCUAAGGGAUACUGUCAGGCUUGGGACCGGAAGAGGUAAGGGGUACUCCAGGGGUAGGAGUGAAAUCUUGUAAUCCCUGGGGGACCAUCUGUGGCGAAGGCGCCUUACCAGAACGGGUCCGACGGUGAGGGACGAAAGCUAGGGGAGCAAACCGGAUUAGAUACCCGGGUAGUCCUAGCUGUAAACGAUGCUCGCUAGGUGUCAGACACGGUGCGACCGUGUUUGGUGCCGCAGGGAAGCCGUUAAGCGAGCCACCUGGGAAGUGCGGUCGCAAGGCUGAAACUUAAAGGAAUUGGCGGGGGAGCACUACAACGGGUGGAGCCUGCGGUUUAAUUGGAUUNCAACGCCGGAA